GGGUGCGAUCAUACCAGCACUAAUGCACCGGAUCCCAUCAGAACUCCGAAGUUAGACGUGCUUGGGCGAGAGUAGUACUAAGAUGGGUGACCUUUUGGGAAGUCCUCGUGUUGCACCCU
This is a non-coding RNA of Ricinus communis (castor bean), 119 nucleotides long. Lineage: Eukaryota; Viridiplantae; Streptophyta; Magnoliopsida; Malpighiales; Euphorbiaceae. The record is from Rfam.